UACCAGCACCCCGAGUGGUCGGGACGUUUAUUGGGCCUAAAGCAUCCGUAGCCGGUUUUACAAGUCCUCCGUUAAAUCCAGCUGCUUAACAGAUGGGCUGCGGAGGAUACUAUAAGACUAGGAGGCAGGAGAGGCAAGCGGUACUCAGUGGGUAGGGGUAAAAUCCGUUGAUCCAUUGAAGACCACCAGUGGCGAAGGCGGCUUGCCAGAAUGCGCUCGACGGUGAGGGAUGAAAGCUGGGGGAGCAAACCGG
This 253-nucleotide ribosomal RNA is filed under the name uncultured bacterium. Its description in RNAcentral is "partial 16S ribosomal RNA". It matches the Rfam family "Archaeal small subunit ribosomal RNA", at positions 474 to 727 of the family's 1478-position model. The record is from RNAcentral.